RNAcentral lists this ribosomal RNA (963 nucleotides) under Triticum aestivum (bread wheat). RNAcentral describes it as "partial small subunit ribosomal RNA". Lineage: Eukaryota; Viridiplantae; Streptophyta; Magnoliopsida; Poales; Poaceae. The record is from RNAcentral.
AUGGGCAUCCUGUCCCUCAUCACCGGGAAGCCGGGCGCCAGCGGGUUCGGCUCGGGCUCCACGGCGGAGCAGGUCACCGAGGACAUCUGCGCCGCCGGCCUCACCGUCGUCGUCACAGGAGGAUCUAGUGGCAUUGGUCUAGAGACCUCGAGAGUCUUUGCCCUGAGAGGAGCCCAUGUCAUCAUUGCUGCGAGAAACACAGAGGCUGCAUCAGAGGCAAAGAAGCGCAUCAUGAAGAUACACCCAGUAGCCCGUAUCGAUGUUCUGAAGCUUGACCUUAGCUCCCUCAAGUCUGUCAGGGCCUUCGCUGACCAGUUCAACGCCAUGAAUCUUCCUCUAAACAUCUUGAUAAAUAAUGCAGGUGUGAUGUUCUGUCCUUUCCAACUGUCUGAAGACGAAGUGGAGAUGCAGUUUGCCACAAAUCAUCUUGGUCACUUCCUACUGACCAACCUUCUCCUUGAUAACAUGAAAACCACUGCCAAGUCCACGGGUAUUGAGGGUCGCAUUGUGAACUUGUCAUCAGUUGCCCACCUCCAUACAUAUCCAAAGGGGAUUCUGUUUGAUCAGCUCAAUGACAAGAAAAUAUACAAUGAUAAAAUGGCCUAUGGACAAUCUAAGCUUGCAAACAUACUGCACGCAAAAGAGCUCUCUAGGCGGCUCAAGGAGGAAGGAGCCAACAUCACAGUUAAUUGCGUUCAUCCUGGAUUGAUCAUGACCAAUUUGAUGAGGCAUUCCUUUGCUCUCAUGAAGGCAAUUCAACUUGUCACCUACUUGUUCUGGAAGAAUGUACCUCAGGGAGCAGCAACCACUUGUUAUGUAGGGCUCAACCCUCAGCUGAAGGGGGUGACAGGCAAAUACUUUGCCGACUGCAACGAGGAGAAGACGAGCGCGCACGCGAAGAGUGACGUCUUGGCGAAGCAACUCUGGGAAUUCAGCGAGGAGCUCAUCAGAUCCGUGAAAUGA